Molecule: RNA transcript, 2599 nt
Organism: Triticum dicoccoides
Lineage: Eukaryota; Viridiplantae; Streptophyta; Magnoliopsida; Poales; Poaceae
Exons: 5
Source: RefSeq, a predicted model, not a curated record
UCGCACCUGCUCGCUUGCCCGCAGACACCCUGGGCCACAUCGAGGGCUAAUGGGCCUGUUCUGGGAGUUCAUCGUGGCGGAACUUUUGCAAUCCUCUGUCUGCUCCCCUGCGCACUCUCCAUCGCCCCCAGAGCUACACACCCAAUCCCUCGCUCUCUCGGCGAGAUCCAAGACGGCCGCGUCAGCUGGGAGCGGACGCACGCGAGAGGAGUUCGAUGAGCGUGAGCUGGAGGUGGCUGCCAUUCUCGCGGAACUGUAGUCCAUCGUGCGGGCCAGUCAGUAGGAGUCAGGCGCGGCCAGAGAUCCCCUCAUGGGGCCGGCGCCAGCCGAGGAAGGCCCUAGCGGCACCGCCGUCCGAGAAGCCCGCGGCAGAUAGCCCGGACACCCCGGAUAGCCGGACGACGAGGCGGCGGCAGUGCAUGACAAGUCGGCGUAGGAGCAGUGCGGCGAUUUUGACGAGUAGGAGAUGGAGCACGUCACAAGCACCCCGACUGCACCCUGAGGUUAUCCAUCAGGUAGACUAUCAUCACACUGCGGUUCAUGAUGCUGCUCCCAAGCUUCCCGGCAAGAUUGUGCGAGUCACAACUUGCAUGACGCAGAUUCUUUUGCUAUACUUCGGAAGCCGGCAAUAGCAGCGGCAACAUCGACGACGCAUCCACGGGCUGGACAAAACUUGAUUAGCUUACUACUGCAUCAAUAAUUUGUGCCUGCAGGAUUCUUUCACAGAUCAUGUCAACGAGAUUACCAAUUUGAAGAGGCUGCACAUGAUCUGAAAAUAUUGGCAUAUACAGUCCUGAACAUAAGUUUCAAAAUAGCAAAUCCGUUGUACCAGUCAAUUUUCCUAAUGUACUGUAACCUCAUUUGCAUCUGCCUAACCUUUCCUAACUACCUCUCUGUGGUUGGUUGAAGGUGUGGAGUUUAGUCUUGUUCCGCUGUGAGGAAAGCCAUGACCUCCACACAGAUGAUGCAAGUGGAAACAAGCUAGACUCUCAACUUUGGUUUUCAGGCAUCUUCACCAACAAAUAUUACCCUGCAAAUCGAGGACUUCAGAGCCUGGCUGCAGGCCUCGCGAGCACCAAUGACAGCCUCAAGCAGAUUCAGCAGAGCAAGGUGAUGAGUACCCAGCUGGCUGGUCAAUCUGAAUGAUCUUAUUGGCCAGCAAAGCGGAGAUGGAUGACCACGGUCCUGACCUUAGCAGCAGACAGAGACAGUAAAUGGGAUCAAGGGAAGUUGGUAGGGCUCCAGCGGCACAUGCUUACCACUGCUGGCUGUUAGCGGGAAAGGAAAUUGUGUGCAGAGAAGCUGCCUUGAUUUUUAAUACUGAACCUAUUUUUGCAGAACCAAACACUAACGAUAAGAGAGAUGAAUGUGCAGUAUGCUAAAUUUGGGUAUCCAACUACAGAAGAAAUGGAUUUUUAUUUAUAUUAGAAGCUAGGUUAUCACUUUUGAUUUUAAAUUGAUCGCUCAUGGACAGUGGCAUCUUAAUUGGCCAUAAACACAGCCUAAUUCAAUACCUCCCUUCAAAUUGGCAACUAAAGGGAAGGUGAGUUUAAAUGUCUCAGCCCCUGUGACCUGGCUGGCCUUUGUGUUAGAAGAUUCAAAGGGAAUGAAAAGUUGGAGGCAACAAGGCCACCUCUUAUCUGGGUUCUUUACAUAAAAAUAGUGAGGGUCAUAUAAUCUGCCAUCGAUUUUGAUAAUUUCAUCAUGUCCCACCAAUUUAUACAUGUGUAUGAUUCGAAAUCAAUAAGCCAACUCAAGGAGUGGGUCCCGGAAUACAAGCAGGAAGAAAAGAGAAGGAAUUAAAAGGAGUAAACUCGGCUCUUAUGUAAGCAAUAAGGAAAGAAAUUAUUCCACUCAUAAGGAAAGAGAAGGAAUUAAAGGAAGUAAAUUCGGCUCUCAUGUAAGAAAAAUGGAAAGGAAUUAUUCCACUCAUAAGGAAAGAGAAGAAAUUAAAACAAGGAGAAAACUCGGCUCUUAUAUAAGCAGAAAGGAAAGAAAUUAUUUCACUCAUAAGGAAAGGGAAGAGAUUAAAAGGAGUAAAUUCGGCUCUUAUAAAGCAAAAAAUGAAAGAAAUAUGAAGGAAUAAAAUUUGCUCUUAUGUAUGAGCAUUAAAGGAAAAGAAUAAAAAAAACGAUGCUGUUGCUGGAUGUGCACGGGCUGAGAAGGGAGCAAUUAAAAUAAAUAACAUCGGUUGCGUGCGUGCAGUUGCACAUGGUCUAAUUCAAUGGCCCUUCUCUUCUCGCAUACAAAAUAGUUGGCCGGCAAUGACCAUUCAUACUUUUCUGUUGUUUUGAAUCUGUGGGGUACAUAUAAAUUAUGCUUGGUUAUUUUUAUAUUACAUCCCAUAUUAUGUGUACUCAUUUGAUCUAAGGUUAUUUUUAAUAACUUGGUUUUUUUUUUGUCACAAACAAACCGAUGAACCGGCGGUCCAACUUGUGACAGCUGCAACGGUUUGGUUGCCCGUUCGCUUUUAAAAAUAUAGUCUGAUGGCCAUGGUGAAAGAACACGACAUGAAGUGCUUUGUAUCCCUAGAACGAUGAGGAGACACGAGUAUGAAGUGUUUUGUUUGGGCCAAGCACUGCCGCCGCCUGCUCGUGUC